GCCGUGGAGACGGCGCCGCCCCGGCGCGGAGCCCGGCCCCGCUCAGGAGCGUUCCGCCAGCCGUGAGGGCCGGCAGACCCGGCUCUCCCCCUUUCCUUUCUUGUUUGUCUACAAAAUAGCUUAAUUCAACACCAACCUUAAUUCAACUUCCUCUCCUCCUGUCUGUGCACCAGAAAAACUGAGGCUUGCCCAGCAGGCCGAGGCAGGGGCUGCCACCGCUGCCUUUGCCAAGGCCACCUCAGUGAUACAACACCAAAACUAACUAGGAAAGGCCAGAGUUAUCAAUUAUGAACUUCUAGCGAAUCAGGGCUGCUAGCUUCUUGCUUCCCAGGAUGUAGAGCCAUUUGGGAGCAGCAAAGCCGUGCUUUCAAACUCUUCCCUGUCCUAAUUAAAGGAAAGACCAUUGUUACUUCAGGCAUUGAACUUGGUUUUUUAAAAUGCUGAGGAUUUUAUCAUCUCACAGAAGACAUUUGGAUGGUGGAAAAUGUAUUUUUCUGCUGUAAAAUGAAGUCUGUUUGCUUAAUGGCACAACACUUCAUUGAUCAUUCAGUAACAGACAGUGGUCCAUUCUACUGGCAUUUUUACCUAGCUGCAGGAUGGCACAGCCUUCAAGAGAUUCAGCAUCUUUUAGAGUCUCAUCAUGGCACAAGUAAGAUCGAAUAAAAAUAUUGCUGAAAAUUGAAUAAAAAACAUAGGAAAGUGAUCCUUUCCUUUCCU
This 717-nucleotide long non-coding RNA is filed under the name Cyanistes caeruleus (blue tit). Its description in RNAcentral is "lncRNA (ENSCCEG00000023933.1)". The record is from RNAcentral. Lineage: Eukaryota; Metazoa; Chordata; Aves; Passeriformes; Paridae.